RNAcentral lists this ribosomal RNA (480 nucleotides) under uncultured bacterium. Its description in RNAcentral is "partial 16S ribosomal RNA". It matches the Rfam family "Bacterial small subunit ribosomal RNA", at positions 28 to 523 of the family's 1533-position model. The record is from RNAcentral.
GAUGAACGCUGGCGGCGUGCUUAACACAUGCAAGUCGAGCGAUGAAGUUUCCUUCGGGAAACGGAUUAGCGGCGGACGGGUGAGUAACACGUGGGUAACCUGCCUCGUAGAGUGGAAUAGCCUUCCGAAAGGAAGAUUAAUACCGCAUAACGUUGAAAGAUGGCAUCAUCAUUCAACCAAAGGAGCAAUCCGCUAUGAGAUGGACCCGCGGCGCAUUAGCUAGUUGGUGGGGUAACGGCCUACCAAGGCGACGAUGCGUAGCCGACCUGAGAGGGUGAUCGGCCACAUUGGGACUGAGACACGGCCCAGACUCCUACGGGAGGCAGCAGUGGGGAAUAUUGCACAAUGGGGGAAACCCUGAUGCAGCAACGCCGCGUGAGUGAUGAAGGUUUUCGGAUCGUAAAGCUCUGUCUUUGGGGAAGAUAAUGACGGUACUCAAGGAGGAGGCCACGGCUAACUACGUGCCAGCAGCCGCAGUAA